Molecule: transfer RNA, 71 nt
Filed under: Cordylochernes scorpioides
Lineage: Eukaryota; Metazoa; Arthropoda; Arachnida; Pseudoscorpiones; Chernetidae
Description: tRNA-Cys
Source: RNAcentral
UGCAUCGGCCGGGAAUUGAACCCGGGCCGCCGGUGUUGCAGGCGAGCAUUCUACCAUUGAACCACCAAUGC